AGAGGAAGCCGGUGAGAAUCCGGCGCGGUCCCGCCACUGUCACCGGGGAGCGCUCUCCCAUCACCUGUACGAGUCACGGCCGUCCACACCGCGGCUGGAAGACCGGGAGAAACGCGGAUCCGGGAGCCAGGAGACUC
This 137-nucleotide non-coding RNA is filed under the name Streptomyces bingchenggensis. Lineage: Bacteria; Bacillati; Actinomycetota; Actinomycetes; Kitasatosporales; Streptomycetaceae. The record is from RNAcentral.